UACGAAGGGGGCUAGCGUUGCUCGGAAUCACUGGGCGUAAAGGGCGCGUAGGCGGAUCUUUAAGUCGGGGGUGAAAGCCCAGGGCUCAACCCUGGAAUUGCCUUCGAUACUGGAGAUCUUGAGACCGGAAGAGGUAAGUGGAACUGCGAGUGUAGAGGUGAAAUGCGCAGAUAUCAGGAAGAACACCCGUGGCGAAGGCGGCUCUCUGGGACGGUACUGACGCUGAGACGCGAAAGCGUGGGGAGCGAACAGG
Molecule: ribosomal RNA, 253 nt
Filed under: uncultured bacterium
Lineage: Bacteria
Description: partial 16S ribosomal RNA
Rfam family: Bacterial small subunit ribosomal RNA
Source: RNAcentral